UUGUACAUUUUUGUAGUUUAUUUUGUACAUUUUGUAGACAAUCCUCCUACUAAUGGAAACUCGGAAGCAUUUGCAAAUGUCAAAAAGGCAGAAGGUAACCAAGAUGACAAACGAAGGCAUCCUGGCUCCAAAGUGAGAUGCACAGUGAGUAAAUUAAUUUCUGGAGAAUCCAGUUUCUGAUUAAAAGCAGUGAAUAGUGCUGGGGAAGUUAUAUUGUUCAGUUGGCCCAUUCAUCAUUCAUUUCACUUUGGAUGAAUAUAUGUUUCUACUUCCUGUCAAGAUAGAGAGUAACUAUACCUGCACAAUCAUUUUUGUGUUUUCUUAUUUGCUUGUGUUUAUUUGUAGUCUGGAGCUCAUUCAAUGAAGUGUGAAAGUGCACCAAUUCCAAGCCCUCCUUCUCAAUGUGGUACACCUGUGGUAACCUGCAAGGGUCCAACCUGCAUUGCUGUUAGUUGGGAGAUUCCUGUAUGUAAUGGUGCCAAAAUCACAGAUUACAGACUAGAGUGGGG
This is a long non-coding RNA of Leopardus geoffroyi (Geoffroy's cat), 509 nucleotides long. RefSeq lists it as uncharacterized. Lineage: Eukaryota; Metazoa; Chordata; Mammalia; Carnivora; Felidae. The record is from RefSeq and is a predicted model, not a curated record. The transcript is spliced from 2 exons.